RNAcentral lists this ribosomal RNA (478 nucleotides) under uncultured bacterium. RNAcentral's name for it is "partial 16S ribosomal RNA". It matches the Rfam family "Bacterial small subunit ribosomal RNA", at positions 28 to 507 of the family's 1533-position model. The record is from RNAcentral.
GAUGAACGCUGGCGGCGUGCUUAACACAUGCAAGUCGAACGGGAAACCUUUUAUUGAAGCUUCGGCAGAUUUAGCUGGUUUCUAGUGGCGGACGGGUGAGUAACGCGUGGGUAACCUGCCUUAUACAGGGGGAUAACAGUCAGAAAUGGCUGCUAAUACCGCAUAAGCGCACAGAGCUGCAUGGCUCAGUGUGAAAAACUCCGGUGGUAUAAGAUGGACCCGCGUUGGAUUAGCUGGUUGGUGGGGUAACGGCCCACCAAGGCGACGAUCCAUAGCCGGCCUGAGAGGGUGAACGGCCACAUUGGGACUGAGACACGGCCCAGACUCCUACGGGAGGCAGCAGUGGGGAAUAUUGCACAAUGGGGGAAACCCUGAUGCAGCGACGCCGCGUGAAGGAAGAAGUAUCUCGGUAUGUAAACUUCUAUCAGCAGGGAAGGUAAUGACGGUACCUGACUAAGAAGCCCCGGCUAACUACGUG